This 253-nucleotide ribosomal RNA is filed under the name uncultured bacterium. Its description in RNAcentral is "partial 16S ribosomal RNA". It matches the Rfam family "Bacterial small subunit ribosomal RNA", at positions 524 to 776 of the family's 1533-position model. The record is from RNAcentral.
UACGGGGGGGGCAAGCGUUGUUCGGAAUUACUGGGCGUAAAGGGCGCGUAGGCGGCUCGCUAAGUCGGAUGUGAAAACUCUGGGCUCAACCCAGAGCCUGCAUUCGAAACUGACGAGCUCGAGUUCUGGAGGGGAAAGCGGAAUUCCUGGUGUAGCGGUGAAAUGCGCAGAUAUCAGGAGGAACACCGGUGGCGAAGGCGGCUUUCUGGACAGAAACUGACGCUGAUGCGCGAAAGCUAGGGGAGCAAACAGG